UAACCAAAUGUUUUAAAUAUCUUAGUAACUAAAAAAAAAUCAGAGCUAAAAAAAUUUCAAGAUUUUUUUUAUUCUUCAACCACUUAACCUAAUUUACAGCUCUUUUGUCCACUAGAGUACUGCUUGAGCGAUUAUGCACUUUUGUACUGCGCCUAUGUAUAUUCUAUUCUUAUUCUACUUUUUCGAACUGGUUGUUUUUGCGCUGUUGUCACUUUUCUACACUGUGCAUAUUAGAAUGAUGAGCAUGAGGAUGUUAAUGUGUGACUCUUGUUCCUUUUCCUGACCGAUUGGGGGUUCAUAAUGAAUUGCUGUUGGCUGAUAGCCAAGUUUCCGGGUCCGUUAGAGCACAUCCCAGGUAACAAUUUGAUGCUGUACAAACGUUUUUUCAACUAUUUGAAAGCAGCCUUUAUUUGAACAAAAAACACAAGUGGUACAAUGUUUUAUUCAGCCUCUAAACAUAUAAUUUUGGUGGUUUUAUUCAACCUUUAGCUGAUAUGAAGUUCAUUGAAAGGCCGAUUUAGAGUUUAAUAUGCGCUUAAUUAGUCAUCAGUCAAAUUAUUUAUUUUGGUCAUAAACAAAACGUACAUUUUCGUAAGCAUUGCUUUCCAUUUUCGGCUUUCUAUUUCCAGAAGAGAUGUUAAGGAAUGUAUAAACUAAUCUAUGGGAAAACUGGGCUUUCAACCCGGACCUCCUGAUUCAUAGUCACUCACCUUAGCACCUACACCACACACUACAAUAUUCUCGAAAAUGAGAGCAUUAAUUGUUGUGUCUGAAUAAUCAAGCACAUUAAUUGAAUUAAACCUGGAUUAAGGCUGAAGCUGAGGAAUUCCACGGAGUCAUGUCAGUCGAUCUUGAGCGACCAUUUCAAAAAUAUCUGAAACUUAGCACAGUUUUUCCAUUUCAUAUAAAUCGCCAUUUUUCGAUAUUAAACCUUCAUAUUCACUCACGACUAACUUUUCAAAAGGGUGUAUGCGAAAAUAGUUCAAAAAUAUUCUAAAAGCUGUACAGCAAAAACGGAUUGUUCGAUUGUUAUGAAUUUUUCAGCAAAGUUAGAUAACUAAAUGAUGAUUCCUUAGAAAAUAUACACUGUAAAAAAUUUCUUCUUUUACUUUAAAAAAAUAUGAUCUUAGUCACAAAAACUCAAAUAUCUCAAAACCCUAUCUUUUUACCAACGUCAAUUUUUUAGGGGAAAUGGCCCAUUAUAUCAGCUAUCUACCAUAAAAUUUUGGUGAUGGUAAACUGAUAAACAAAAAAGUUACGACAUUUCAAACAUUUCACAAUUUUUACAUUUAGCAACAAAAAAAAAUUUUUUUUCUGUGUAAAUUAUUUUGAGAAUUAUAUUUUGAUGCUGAUUUUAUUGUAAAGGCCUGAGCUACCGCCUGAAUUAAACAAGUUGUUUUCAUGAUAUUUUAGUUUGAUUAUUCAUAAUUACUACAGUAUCUAUUUGAAACUGAGACGCGAUCCAGUGUUGUGAUCAAAAAUAUUGAGAGUGUCAUACUUUUUAUUGUACGUGACUGGUGAAAAAAUCCCUUGAUAGUGUUGAAAAACUGUUGAUUAUAAGAAAAAUAAAAUUAAACUUAUUUUCAAGACAAAAGCCGUAUAAUAAAAGUUUUAUAUACGCGUAAACGCCUUGUUUAUCUGCAAAAAAAAUACCUCUUAGAGAACAGACUUUAUGAUCGGAAGAAUAAGAGUAACUUCAACAACAACAAAUGCAUGAGAGGUACAUACCACAAACAAACAGACGAAACGCCUAGAACAAUUUUAGUGAAAAUCCAUCGCCCAGUUCACACUACCAUCACCUGGUGGAAAUGUUUCACGAAACACUGCGUUGUGCAAUAUCGUCAUCAGAAGGCGCUAGUGUGAAACGUCAAACGGAAAGAAAAACGAUGGGCGCUCUUAUGGUUAUGAAAGCCACAACCAAGAUUCAAAAUGAUCGUUAAAGGCGUGGUCAAUGAAAAUUUCGUCAGUGUUACGUUUGUUUGUCUGUAUACAUACCAUGACAAUGCUCUGCUCACGAAAAAGCAAAAAAAAAUACUACCGCUAUGGAUAUUAAAAAUUGUAUAGUAAAUUUUUUCUUCAGCCACCAACACCAAACUAGUCAGUUAAAACUAAUAAGUGAUUUUGUUUAUUAUAAUCUAACGAACAACACGAACAGUCGCUUUCUCAAAGGUCUUCAACUCAACGCUCUCUUGUAGACCGUUUGAUGAAAAAAAAUGUUCAAAAGAGUUACGAAAUCUCACCGAAAGCACCAUAGAUAAACUGAAAGAGACUGGUUAUGCCCAAAUGUCCACACUGUAUACAAAUUUACGCAUUUGCACGUCCUGCCGUCUAGAAUUUGACAAACGAGCCAUCUGUAUAUCUUCGGUAAAGCAGGGUGCAGGAAGUUCGAAAACAACAACAACUGAGAAAUUGCCAGAAGUGCUAAGUGCAGAGAGUCAUGCCACCGUACCAUCAGCGACAUCUGUUUAAACAAUUUAAUUACGCCCCUUUUCAAAAAUGCUUUGAAAUAUUCUUCAACAUCUAUACCCAUUUCAAUAUUUUUAACGUUGCAAAACACGCUUUCAACAUUCAUCUUGAAGAAGAGGGAAAACACUUUUUUGGGGCCCC
Molecule: long non-coding RNA, 2607 nt
Organism: Aedes albopictus (Asian tiger mosquito)
Lineage: Eukaryota; Metazoa; Arthropoda; Insecta; Diptera; Culicidae
Exons: 2
Source: RefSeq, a predicted model, not a curated record